CCCUUAGAUGUUCUGGGCGGCCCGCGCACUACAUUGGCACUAGCAAAGGGAUCCUAGAUUGAAUUCUUUGGGGUAUUCUUCUAAAUGGUGUCGUGACUGGGAUAAAUCCUUGUAAUUAUUGGUUUUGAACGAGGAAUUCCUUGUAAUCGCGGUUUAUCAGCUCGCGUUGAAUGCGUCCCUGCCCUUUGUACACACCGCCCGUCGCUCCUACCGAUGGAUCGUCCGGUGAAGCUCACGGAGUGACUGUUCACGCAACGGUUUACGAAGUGAAAUGGACCUCACGAUUUAGAGGAAGGAGAAGUCGUAACA
Molecule: ribosomal RNA, 309 nt
Filed under: uncultured eukaryote
Lineage: Eukaryota
Description: partial 18S ribosomal RNA
Rfam family: Eukaryotic small subunit ribosomal RNA
Source: RNAcentral